UACGAAGGGGGCAAGCGUUGUUCGGAUUUACUGGGCGUAAAGGGCGCGCAGGCGGCGCGUCAAGUCGGGUGUGAAAGCCCCGGGCUCAACCUGGGAACUGCACUCGAGGCUGACGCGCUAGGGUUCGGGAGAGGAUGGCGGAAUUCCCAGUGUAGAGGUGAAAUUCGUAGAUAUUGGGAAGAACACCGGUGGCGAAGGCGGCCAUCUGGACCGAGACUGACGCUGAGGCGCGAAAGCUAGGGGAGCAAACGGG
RNAcentral lists this ribosomal RNA (253 nucleotides) under uncultured bacterium. Its description in RNAcentral is "partial 16S ribosomal RNA". It matches the Rfam family "Bacterial small subunit ribosomal RNA", at positions 524 to 776 of the family's 1533-position model. The record is from RNAcentral.